UACGUAGGGUGCGAGCGUUGUCCGGAAUUAUUGGGCGUAAAGGGCUCGUAGGCGGUUUGUCGCGUCGGGAGUGAAAACCAGGUGCUUAACACCUGGCUUGCUUUCGAUACGGGCAGACUAGAGGUAUUCAGGGGAGAACGGAAUUCCUGGUGUAGCGGUGAAAUGCGCAGAUAUCAGGAGGAACACCGGUGGCGAAGGCGGUUCUCUGGGAAUGACCUGACGCUGAGGAGCGAAAGCGUGGGGAGCAAACAGG
RNAcentral lists this ribosomal RNA (253 nucleotides) under uncultured bacterium. RNAcentral describes it as "partial 16S ribosomal RNA". It matches the Rfam family "Bacterial small subunit ribosomal RNA", at positions 524 to 776 of the family's 1533-position model. The record is from RNAcentral.